GCCGAUCUGCUGAGUGUCCCAGAAAUGCCUAAACAACAAUGGAGAUGAAAUGGUCUGCAGCAAUGGGGAGUGUGUUGAUCUGAAUAUAGCCUACUAAUCAACCUCUGGCUUCUCUCAGAUUUGAUUUUGGAGAUCCUUCUUCCAGAAGGUUUCACUUCCCUCAAGUCCAAAAACCCAUCUGCCUGCAUCCUACUAGUAAAUCACUCUUAGCUUUCAUAUGGAAUCUAAAUUAUGCAAUAUUUCUUUUCCAUAUUUAAUCUGUUUACCUCUUGCUGU
Molecule: long non-coding RNA, 276 nt
Organism: Protobothrops mucrosquamatus (brown spotted pit viper)
Lineage: Eukaryota; Metazoa; Chordata; Lepidosauria; Squamata; Viperidae
Exons: 2
Source: RefSeq, a predicted model, not a curated record